CAACGGGCACCUCGCUCCUCUGUUACUGGUUGUUAGAAAGGAUGAAUAAAGCGCCUCGCCUGUAAACCUCUACCAUCAUUAUCAGGGAUUCAGGCCUCCGGGACCAUGCCAGAAUUAAGUGAUUCUUGAAAGAUCAUGACCAGUGCAUCCGUUAUCUUUUCAACAACCUCUCUUAGGACUCUGGGAUGUAGUCCAUCUGGUCCAGGUGCAGGCAGGAUAUCGCGACGGUCCCGAACAAAACACCCAGAGUAACGCCGAUCAAAAUUUCUCUUCCAGACAGCGACUGGAACCUCGCUUCUCUAUUAC
Long non-coding RNA from Mobula hypostoma (lesser devil ray), 306 nucleotides. RefSeq lists it as uncharacterized. NCBI's taxonomy places the organism in Eukaryota, Metazoa, Chordata, Chondrichthyes, Myliobatiformes, Myliobatidae. The transcript has 3 exons. The record is from RefSeq and is a predicted model, not a curated record.